This is a long non-coding RNA of Frankliniella occidentalis (western flower thrips), 2705 nucleotides long. RefSeq lists it as uncharacterized. The transcript is spliced from 3 exons. NCBI's taxonomy places the organism in Eukaryota, Metazoa, Arthropoda, Insecta, Thysanoptera, Thripidae. The record is from RefSeq and is a predicted model, not a curated record.
UGGAACCAGUUUGCGCCUACGGACUCCACACAGCACCCGGGGCGUGGAGUCGGCUGAAGCCUGAACGAAGAUCGUGAUAUCUCACUGCAGCAGGCACAGACGGGCAGCCAAGGAAUAAGUACGGCUGUAUCGGGCAGGGGCUGUAUCGGGCAGGGGCUGCGUCCCGCGGUACAACGGCUUCUUUGGUCUGGCCCCCCGCGCACCGCUUCGGUACUAUCCAGUCAGUUUUCAAGGCUUGAAAGAUGCACAUCUCGCCCGCUCGGCCAAAGAAACUGACUCAAGAUAUGCGGGGAUAAAACUGACUGAAGCCUACAGGGUCACGGCGGGGGUCGGUGUGUGAGAAGUCGCCCGUCUGGUCGUCGGCCAUGGCCGUGAGGGUGACGACGUGCGCCAGGGCGAGCAGCACGCCCGUGAACACGGCCUCCUGCAGGCGCAGCGGCAGCAGCGCGUACGUGACGUAGAUGAAGAAGAGGGCGGGCCCCAUGGCCGCGGACGGCGGCAGAUGCUGGUCGGCGUGCUCGUCCGCCACCAGGAAGACGAGCUCCAGGACGAGGAAGGUGCCGCACACGGCGUACGACACCCCGAGAAGCAUCCCGUGUUUUGUUGUUUGUGUGCAUAUAAUUUUUUGAAUCACUGUGUCUUGGCAUGGUCAUGGGCUACGCAACGCACAUGCACAACAAUCAAUGCUUAAUUCAGUGACCAUCGUGUGCUCCCCCUUCUCUCCCCCACGCUUCCUUUCUCUCUCUCUUUAUGUGUCACAACGAUGCUAAUUAGAAAACUUUGGCAGGAAGGAUGUUGCCGUUGAUAAGCCCCUGCCGCUGAUGCCAACUUUUUUUUUCAAAUCGCUGGGCCGUUCUUAUUUGUAUUAAUCCUCUGCCUAUUCUUUUUGUUGCUUUUCCUUUAUUUUCAUCUGAAGUGACCGGGAAAAAAUAAUUAGGCUGUCGCAGCAACAAAAAAAAAAAUUAAAAUUCAUCCACCGAUUGUCUGGCAAAAAAUGUGCGUCCUCAAUAGCCUAUCCAGGUAAUGGGUCGGUGUCCCAACUAGAGGCUAAUUCAAGUUCGUUGGACGUGCUCCACAAAAUAUUUUAUGCGAUAACAAACGUUUUACUCGAAUUUUUUGCCCUCUUUUUUCCCCACCUUGCUAACGCGCCCCCUGUCCGACGCCGCCGCCAGGCCGCGCUCGAGGCCGUGCGGGGCGGGGGCAGGACCCCCCCGUAUGGCCCCGGCGGCGGUGGACAGGCCGGGCAGGAAAUUGCCCGUUCGGCGGGCGAGCCUAACGCACCGCAAAGGACAUCCGGUAUUUGGUUCUGCGUGUCCCGCGGCGGCGCGGGUCCUUCCGCAAGGCACAGAGGGACGACACGGGGGGACGACCCUGCAGAACGCCGCGCAACAUCGAUUGCCUACCCGCGUCGGACUGGUUUUUUAUUUGUUUUUGUUUUCGUUUUUUGCUUUUUUCACCCCUUCCUCUGCGUUUCACGGAACAACCCGAGAUAAACUGUGAAAAGGAAAAUAAAAAGAAAACACUGUCGUAAAACAGCAUAGAAACGAACGGAAAUGAAAAGGCGCAAGCCAAGCGCGUCUCAGCUGCGACAAUCGCGCGGUAUGACAGCUUUAUUUGGCCCGCGGCCUGUUUUGCUGGCGGUCCUGUUUGCGGCGGCCGGCCAGCCGCCCCCCCGGGGCUGGCCUCACAAGGAAGGGCCAGUCCUUUUGGAGGGUCAGGGAGGCGGGCGGCGGCGGCCGCAGCGGCGGCCUAGAGAGGGUCAGCCAGGCCAGCCAGGUCGGGGAAAGGGGGGGAGGGGCGGCGUUUGAAGUCAGACCCUCAUAACGGCGUAGGGACAGUAUGUCCUGGACUGGGACGCGCCGAGGGAUACACGCGCAACGGCCUACUACACAAUGGAAUAACGUCACCUUGCCUCCGUCUGCUCGCAGGGGAAGGGAGACAGACAGACAUACAGACAGAGAAAAGGGGGCGGGGGGAGUGCGAGCGGGAGAGCAUCAGUUUCCAGUAUGCAGAGGGGGACGCUUCUUUUUUGCCCCCUUUUUUUCGUGUGAAAAAAAGCAAUAUCCCCUUCUCUUUCCUCUGCGAGAAGGGUCGGACUUCCUGCGUGGACCGACAGAGAGGUGGUGGUGGAUGGUGAGGUGGUGUUCGCGCAGCCAGUGACCGCAGCAGCGCCAGAGAGGUGGCGUCAGUCUGGAGGUCACGACAGGUGAGGAGGUGGGUUGGUGAUGUGGGUGGUAGGGAUGUGGAGGGGAGGGGGGGAUGGAAGAGAGGAGUAAUAAAGGAGAAUCGCCGGGCUGAUCUGUCGAACAGUGUCGGCCGCAAAUAAGGGCGGCGGCCCCGGGAAUCGUAAAGUUUACCUCGCCCCAUCCCUCUCGUUGACUGCCCUCCUUUCCCACACCACCGUCCGAAAAAAACAAAGCGCGUGGUGCGAGAUUUCAUCGAUUCAAAGUUUGCGGUGGUAAAAGUCUCGAACUAAACUGAGCUCCUAAGUGGCACCUACCUCUAUCUUUACGAUUACUUACUAGCCUCGUUAAUUUACAACAGUUGUUGUGAUUUUUAUUUACAAAAAAUAUGUAAUAAAUUUGCGACAGCCCAUCUUGCGGAUAGAUCAAAUCAAUUUCGAUAUGAAGUGCUUGUAAAUUUACAAUUUCAAACUGUAGAUGAAAUUUUCCUGUAAACCUUCGACUACUUUUCACAGUGAAAUA